UAAGAAGUGGUGUAGUGGGAGCACAGAGGGUUUUGAGCCCUCUGGGGAGGGUUCGAGGCCCUUCUUCUUAA
Molecule: transfer RNA, 71 nt
Filed under: Eviota japonica
Lineage: Eukaryota; Metazoa; Chordata; Actinopteri; Gobiiformes; Gobiidae
Description: tRNA-Gln
Rfam family: tRNA
About the family: Transfer RNA (tRNA) molecules are approximately 80 nucleotides in length. Their secondary structure includes four short double-helical elements and three loops (D, anti-codon, and T loops).
Source: RNAcentral